UGGGGAAUUUUGGACAAUGGACGCAAGUCUGAUCCAGCCAUGCCGCGUGCGGGAAGAAGGCCUUCGGGUUGUAAACCGCUUUUGUCAGGGAAGAAACGAGUUUCUCUAAUACAGAGACUUAAUGACGGUACCUGAAGAAUAAGCACCGGCUAACUACGUGCCAGCAGCCGCGGUAAUACGUAGGGUGCGAGCGUUAAUCGGAAUUACUGGGCGUAAAGCGUGCGCAGGCGGUUAUAUAAGACAGAUGUGAAAUCCCCGGGCUCAAUCUGGGAACUGCAUUUGUGACUGCAUAGCUAGAGUACGGUAGAGGGGGAUGGAAUUCCGCGUGUAGCAGUGAAAUGCGUAGAUAUGCGGAGGAACACCGAUGGCGAAGGCAAUCCCCUGGACCUGUACUGACGCUCAUGCACGAAAGCGUGGGGAGCAAACA
Molecule: ribosomal RNA, 427 nt
Filed under: uncultured bacterium
Lineage: Bacteria
Description: bacterial SSU rRNA
Rfam family: Bacterial small subunit ribosomal RNA
Source: RNAcentral